Molecule: ribosomal RNA, 253 nt
Filed under: uncultured bacterium
Lineage: Bacteria
Description: partial 16S ribosomal RNA
Rfam family: Bacterial small subunit ribosomal RNA
Source: RNAcentral
UACAGAGGGUGCGAGCGUUAAUCGGAGUUACUGGGCGUAAAGGGCGCGUAGGCGGUUGUUUAAGUGAGGUGUGAAAUCCCUGGGCUUAACCUAGGAAUUGCAUUUUAGACUAGAUGACUAGAGUACAGUAGAGGGUGGCGGAAUUUCCGGUGUAGCGGUGAAAUGCGUAGAGAUCGGAAGGAACAUCAGUGGCGAAGGCGGCUACCUGGACUGAAACUGACGCUGAGGCGCGAAAGCGUGGGGAGCAAACAGG